UACGUAGGGGGCUAGCGUUGUCCGGAAUCAUUGGGCGUAAAGCGCGCGUAGGCGGCCAGAUAAGUCCGGUGUGAAAGUCAAAGGCUCAACCUUUGAAUGCCGCUGGAAACUGUCUGGCUUGAGUCCGGAAGGGGCGAGUGGAAUUCCUGGUGUAGCGGUGAAAUGCGCAGAUAUCAGGAGGAACACCAAUGGCGAAGGCAGCUCGGUGGAAAGGUACUGACGCUGAGGCGCGAAAGCGUGGGGAGCGAACAGG
This 253-nucleotide ribosomal RNA is filed under the name uncultured bacterium. RNAcentral describes it as "partial 16S ribosomal RNA". It matches the Rfam family "Bacterial small subunit ribosomal RNA", at positions 524 to 776 of the family's 1533-position model. The record is from RNAcentral.